This is a long non-coding RNA of Helianthus annuus (common sunflower), 810 nucleotides long. RefSeq lists it as uncharacterized. The record is from RefSeq and is a predicted model, not a curated record. NCBI's taxonomy places the organism in Eukaryota, Viridiplantae, Streptophyta, Magnoliopsida, Asterales, Asteraceae. The transcript has 4 exons.
CUUCUCACAUACGCUAUUCUAUACUUUCUCUCAUUCUCUCCAAACCGUUCAAAGCAAUAUUCGAAACCCUAAUAUGCGAUUCCUACUCCUUACCCUUUCAAUCGAUCAUGUGCACAAACCCUAAUUUUGAUAUCUAUUUUUCUAGCCGUUUCACUCCGAAUCUCAACGAAGACAUCAAUCAUUCAUCAUCACAAACACUAAUCGCCUCAAAAAUCAUCGAGCAUGAGCAUAUUCUGGUGUAAGUUAUUGAUUAUUGGUAUGAAACAUUUCAUCAAUUUCAUCAUUCGUCCACCAGUUUUCAGCGUUUGUUCACCGUUCAAUGGACUUUUGUGUUGUAAGGGUUGAUUUGUGGUUUAUGUCAGACUAAUUUGAGGUUAUUUGGCAUCAAAGUUGAAGAUGGAUGGCUAAGCUUUUAAGCAGUUGUGUGGCGGGGGUAUGGAGUUGGUAUAAGGGCUCACUAGGUCGAACAGAGGUUGUGAUUCGGCAUUUGCCAGCUGCCACACAAAAUUUCUUAGUUGGCGCUCAUGGAGAAGAUCGACAAGAGUAGGUUAGUGUUUUACGUGCAUAAAAUCCGGUGUGUCUUAUACUGGUUCCGAAUUUACAGAGCCCAAACAUGGCUUCAUGGAAAAUGGCAACUCAAAAAACCAAAACCAUAAAACUUCAGCUACAUCUACACAUUCAUUAAAGAAGGAUGGAUUUCAAAUAUGGAGUUUGGGUCGAUUCUUUGACGGUGGUCAGGCAUCGUGACGACAAGCGAGCGGGCGAGAGAGUGGUGCGGUAAUUAUCGUUCUUGCCAUAAUUUUGUGACAU